CCCCGUGAAGAGGCGGGGAUAGAACAAUAAGGCGAAAAGACCCUAUGGAGCUUUAAUUUAUUAGUUUACUCUGCCUGCCUCAAACCCACAGGGGCACAAAACAAAUAGACCUAAGCAACUAAUUUUGAUUGAGGUGACCUUGGAGAAUAGUAAAAUCUUCGAAUGAUAUUAACCUAGACACCACAAGCCAAAGUUCCUAUCACUAAUUGACCUAAGCUCUUUGAUCAAUGUAUCAAGUUACCCUAGGGAUACCAGCACAAUCCUAUUUUAGAGUCCACAUCGACAAUAGGAUUUAAGACCUCGAUGUUGGAUCAGGACAUCCUAAUGUUGCAGCCACUAGUAAGGGUUCAUUUAUUCAAUGAUUAAUAGUCCUACAUGAUCUGAGUUCAGACCGGAGCAUCCAGGUCAGUUUCUAUCUAUU
This 421-nucleotide non-coding RNA is filed under the name Cavia porcellus (domestic guinea pig). RNAcentral's name for it is "Bacterial large subunit ribosomal RNA". It matches the Rfam family "Bacterial large subunit ribosomal RNA", at positions 2049 to 2646 of the family's 2925-position model. The record is from Rfam by way of RNAcentral. Lineage: Eukaryota; Metazoa; Chordata; Mammalia; Rodentia; Caviidae.